GGGGCCGACCUGGCUUCGACGUGGGUCGCAAAGCAGCGUAGGGCAUACCGAGGGUCAGAGCACCUCGUAAAUCCAACUGAAAAACUUUAGUCGCAAACGACGAAAACUACGCC
This is a non-coding RNA of Hydrogenophilales bacterium, 113 nucleotides long. Lineage: Bacteria; Pseudomonadati; Pseudomonadota; Hydrogenophilia; Hydrogenophilales. The record is from Rfam.